Molecule: ribosomal RNA, 388 nt
Filed under: uncultured bacterium
Lineage: Bacteria
Description: bacterial SSU rRNA
Rfam family: Bacterial small subunit ribosomal RNA
Source: RNAcentral
AUUGAACGCUGGCGGCAUGCUUUACACAUGCAAGUCGAACGGCAGCACGGGCUUCGGCCUGGUGGCGAGUGGCGAACGGGUGAGUAAUGCAUCGGAACGUACCGUGUAAUGGGGGAUAACGUAGCGAAAGUUACGCUAAUACCGCAUACGCCCUGAGGGGGAAAGCGGGGGAUCGUAAGACCUCGCGUUAUACGAGCGGCCGAUGUCGGAUUAGCUAGUUGGUGGGGUAAAGGCCUACCAAGGCGACGAUCCGUAGCGGGUCUGAGAGGAUGAUCCGCCACACUGGGACUGAGACACGGCCCAGACUCCUACGGGAGGCAGCAGUGGGGAAUUUUGGACAAUGGGCGCAAGCCUGAUCCAGCCAUGCCGCGUGAGUGAAGAAGGCCUU